CACUUUAAUUUGUCCAUCAUUCUUUAUUCUUUCCUCCCGAAACGGUUUCCAGACCCUCACUUUAGCAAAUGUACGCGAGUACGCAAACCCGGAAUUCUCACCGUUACCAUUUUGUAUACUAUGACGCAAUACUAUGGACGCUCACGAGCUGCGGAUGGAGGUUUCAAUUUUUUUAAACUAACUGCAAGAAUGGACAGAGUCAAAGAUAUAUGGUAUAAACAACUCUGGUUGUUCAAACUGAUGGCCAAACCGAUUAACAAAUAAAUGUAAAUAGAUAACUUGUAGAUUCACUGGAAAAAAACAGGGAACGAUUGAAAUGAAAGUCAAAGCAACGGAAAGUGUUUUUGUUUUGAUUGGUGACUUGCCACUUGGAAAGCACAAAGAAAGCUGGUUGAAUUGGUCAACAGUGGCAGAUCCAGAAAUUUUAAUAAAAGUGGGGGGUUGCACUGACUGUCAAACUGGGGCCUCUCCAGUCAUGCGUGAUGAUGCUUCAAUAAUUCCUUUAAAGCAUUUUUAAAGAAAGUACAAGCACUUAAAGAAGUAGUGGAAAAUAAUCAACAAAACAGAAGUCAUUAGAGGCGUUGAUUUCUAUAUUUAUACAUGUAUCUAGACUAGUAGUGGAUUUGAAAAGUGCUGUAUUGAUUCAUGUGCAAAUAAGGAGCAGCAGCCUACAUGGCCAAUGAAACAUUGCAAAUGUAUGAUUAGAGAGGUCAUUUUUCCACAAAAACAAGCUAAUAUAUGUCAAUGGGCCUGAUAAAGUUGAGUUUUUUUGGACUUUUGGGAACAUAAAAAAUGGAACAUAUAUAAGUGAAGAAAAGUAAAGAAAAUGGGAAAAUAUUACAGACACAGUACAUGGACACCAGCAUGAGCAAGUUAAGACAAGAAUCAGCCAUGGAAAGAAACUGUUAAAAGAAGAAAAAAAAGAUGAAGAAAUAGACUUUAACUUUUGUUACAUAUAUGUACAUUUGAUUAUACUAUUAACAAAUUUUUAA
Molecule: long non-coding RNA, 992 nt
Organism: Mytilus trossulus (common blue mussel)
Lineage: Eukaryota; Metazoa; Mollusca; Bivalvia; Mytilida; Mytilidae
Exons: 5
Source: RefSeq, a predicted model, not a curated record